AUGCAAGUCGAACGGUAACAUGACUAGCUUGCUAGUUGAUGACGAGUGGCGGACGGGUGAGUAACGCGUAGGAAUCUACCCAGUAGCGGGGGAUAAGCCAGAGAAAUUUGGUCUAAUACCGCAUACGCCCUUCGGGGGAAAGCAGGGGAUCUUCGGACCUUGCACUAUUGGAUGAGCCUGCGUGAGAUUAGCUUGCUGGUGAGGUAAUGGCUCACCAAGGCGGCGAUCUCUAGCUGGUCUGAGAGGAUGAUCAGCCACACUGGAACUGAGACACGGUCCAGACUCCUACGGGAGGCAGCAGUGGGGAAUAUUGCACAAUGGGCGCAAGCCUGAUGCAGCCAUGCCGCGUGUGUGAAGAAGGCCCUAGGGUUGUAAAGCACUUUCAGCAGUGAGGAAAGGUUAGUAGUUAAUACCUGCUAGCUGUGACGU
This 429-nucleotide ribosomal RNA is filed under the name uncultured bacterium. Its description in RNAcentral is "bacterial SSU rRNA". It matches the Rfam family "Bacterial small subunit ribosomal RNA", at positions 55 to 483 of the family's 1533-position model. The record is from RNAcentral.